Non-coding RNA from Pelobates cultripes (western spadefoot toad), 385 nucleotides. The record is from the annotation of a GenBank genome assembly. NCBI's taxonomy places the organism in Eukaryota, Metazoa, Chordata, Amphibia, Anura, Pelobatidae.
AGAUGACCUCUGCAAAGUAUGUGGAGUUUCUGACUGACCACUUUCUUCUCUGUUACAGAAGGAAGAACUAUGCUUUCCGUAAUAAAAUCAUCUUCAUGCAUGACAAUGCACCAUCUUAUGCUGCAAAGAAUACCUCUUCAUCAAUGGCUGCUAUGUGGAUAAAAGGAGAGAAAGUCAUGGUGUGGCCUCCCCUGACCUCAAUCCUAUUGAGAUCCUUUGGAGCAUCCUCAAGCAAAAGAUCUAUGAGGGUGGGAGGCAGUUUACAUCCAAACAGCAGCUGUGGGAGUCUAUUCUGACAUCUUGCAAACAAAUUCAAGCAGAAACUGUCCAAAAACUCACAAGUUCAAUGGAUGCAAGACUUGUGAAGCUGCUAUCAAAAAAGGGG